RNAcentral lists this ribosomal RNA (492 nucleotides) under uncultured bacterium. RNAcentral describes it as "partial 16S ribosomal RNA". It matches the Rfam family "Bacterial small subunit ribosomal RNA", at positions 29 to 507 of the family's 1533-position model. The record is from RNAcentral.
AGUGAACGCUGGCGGUAGGCCUAACACAUGCAAGUCGAACGGCAGCACAGUAAGAGCUUGCUCUUACGGGUGGCGAGUGGCGGACGGGUGAGGAAUACAUCGGAAUCUACUUUUUCGUGGGGGAUAACGUAGGGAAACUUACGCUAAUACCGCAUGCGACCUACGGGUGAAAGCAGGGGAUCUUCGGACCUUGCGCGAUUGAAUGAGCCGAUGUCGGAUUAGCUAGUUGGCGGGGUAAAGGCCCACCAAGGCGACGAUCCGUAGCUGGUCUGAGGGGAUGAUCAGCCACACUGGAACUGAGACACGGUCCAGACUCCUACGGGAGGCAGCAGUGGGGAAUAUUGGACAAUGGGCGCAAGCCUGAUCCAGCCAUACCGCGUGGGUGAAGAAGGCCUUCGGGUUGUAAAGCCCUUUUGUUGGGAAAGAAAAGCAGCAGGUUAAUACCCCGCUGUUCUGACGGUACCCAAAGAAUAAGCACCGGCUAACUUCGUG